RNA transcript from Capsicum annuum, 1694 nucleotides. RefSeq lists it as uncharacterized. NCBI's taxonomy places the organism in Eukaryota, Viridiplantae, Streptophyta, Magnoliopsida, Solanales, Solanaceae. The transcript is spliced from 7 exons. The record is from RefSeq and is a predicted model, not a curated record.
AGCAAUUAGCAUCAUAAAAAUUUGAUCUUUCCAUCACCCUCAGUGUCCCAUUUACACAUUUUCUAUUGCUCUUUCUUUCCCAACUUUGUGUUAUGAAAUCAUAAAUGACCAACCAAUAAACACACAACAAAAAUGUCAAAAGUUUUUGCCUCCAACACUACUAGUCUUCCGCCAUGGAAUCCCUCUGAACCACCACCAAUCCCCUCUCAUUCCCAAUUCCACUUGAAACCCAUCACUCGUCGUCACCUUCUCACCUCUCUCUCCAUCCUAAUUGCUCCAUUUUUAUCUUCUCCGAACCUCAAUGAUACACUUAGUCCCUUUUCUUUACCAGUAUCAAAUGCUCGUGGCCUCUUUCAAAUGCCACCUUUUCGCCUCGCUAACCGGUACUUUUUGGUGAGAGCAGGGGAAUCAGAAUAUGAGAGUCUAGGGGUGAUUAAUACUAAUCCAGUUACAAAAACAUCAGUGGAUAAUGGUCUGUCUGAGAAAGGGAAGAAACAGACUGUGAGGGCGGCGUUUGAUUUGAAGGAAAUGGGUGCUUGUGAAGGGAAUUGCUGGAUUUGGCCUUCCAUUACUCAGAGAGCUUAUCAGGCUGCUGAGAUUAUCGCUGCCGUUAAUGGUGUUAAUCGAAGCCAUAUAGUCCCUGAAUAUAGCUUUUUGGAUGCUCGUGGAUUGGGAGCAUAUGAAGGGAAAAGUUUGGAUACUUUAUCUGAAGUUUAUGAAUCAGAUAGCCUUUCUCCGAACAUAAAGCCGCCCCCUAUUGAUGAUGGAACACCUAAUGAGAGUGUUUCGGAUGUCUUUGUUCGUGUUACACAACUUAUGUCGAUUCUUGAAACUCAAUACUCAGAGGACACAGUCAUCAUAGUCUCGCCAGAUUCUGACAACUUGACAGUUCUGCAAGCUGGUUUAACAGGCCUCGAUCUUCGGAGGCACAGGGAUCUUUCUUUUGGGCCCGGUGAAGUUAGAUUUGUUGACGCUAGCAGCAUACCUACCUAUAAGCAACCUGCAUCCACAGUCUAUAAAUGCUUAAACCCCCCUAGCUGUACAUGACACUAUACUCCUAAGCUUGGAUUUCACCAACAAGAGUGCAGUUGAAAAGUUCCUCACAGAGCUGCUGCUAUAGUAGAAUUUUCCAAUGAAACGUUUAUUAAGUGCUUCAUGUAAACCAGGAUCAUUUCUUAUACAUUGUUGGUGAAGAUGGGCUCAGGCAGCUGUAUAGCUUUUCUUCAUUCUCAAAGUAUGCAGAGGAUUCGGUCAGCACAUCUAAUCCAUCGCCUGUUUCCUGAAUAUCAGUUCUGUCACAAAUUCCAAUCCUUUGCUGUUUAUGUAUAAUCAAGAAAAGGAAAAAAUAAGACAGAAGUGUUUACCUUAUUGGAAAUUAACUAAACUCUUUUAUCUAUUGUCACUCACGCUUGUUGGAAACUACAUAUGUUGGGAAAAAUGCCACUUGACCUUCUGUUUCAAGUUAUGAGAGAUGUAUCUGUAGCUCCUAUCAGAGGAUUGCUUUUUAGUAAUUUAAGAGUCACACAGAUGAAAAGGAAGGAUUAGAAAGUAGUUUAAUUCCUUUCUACUAUGCUUUUCAGAUCAAGAAAGUCAAAAUAUUUGUAAUGUUAUCUAGUUUUUAUGAUUCAUGUUCUAUGAUAAAACCAAAUUUUAUAAUACGAGCUUUUGUGACAGCAAAAGUUAUUCAGUCUCAA